RNAcentral lists this ribosomal RNA (460 nucleotides) under uncultured bacterium. RNAcentral's name for it is "partial 16S ribosomal RNA". It matches the Rfam family "Bacterial small subunit ribosomal RNA", at positions 338 to 795 of the family's 1533-position model. The record is from RNAcentral.
CCUACGGGAGGCUGCAGUGAGGAAUAUUGGUCAAUGGGCGGAAGCCUGAACCAGCCAAGUCGCGUGCAGGAUGACGGCCCUACGGAUUGUAAACUGCUUUUAUACGGGAAUAACGCGCAUUACGUGUAGGCCUUUGCAUGUACCUUAUGAAUAAGCACCGGCUAAUUCCGUGCCAGCAGCCGCGGUAAUACGGAAGGUCCGGGCGUUAUCCGGAUUUAUUGGGUUUAAAGGGAGCGUAGGCCGCAUGUCAAGCGUGCUGUGAAAUGCCCGGGCUCAACCCGGGCCUUGCAGCGCGAACUGGCGUGCUUGAGUCCGCGGAAAGCAGGCGGAAUGCGUCGUGUAGCGGUGAAAUGCUUAGAUAUGACGAAGAACCCCGAUUGCGAAGGCAGCUUGCUGCAGCGGAACUGACGCUGAUGCUCGAAAGCGCGGGUAUCGAACAGGAUUAGAUACCCUGGUAGUC